Molecule: transfer RNA, 73 nt
Filed under: Coccomyxa subellipsoidea C-169
Lineage: Eukaryota; Viridiplantae; Chlorophyta; Trebouxiophyceae; Coccomyxaceae
Rfam family: tRNA
About the family: Transfer RNA (tRNA) molecules are approximately 80 nucleotides in length. Their secondary structure includes four short double-helical elements and three loops (D, anti-codon, and T loops).
Source: Rfam by way of RNAcentral
GCGACUUUAGCUCAGUUGGGAGAGCGUUAGACUGAAGAUCUAAAGGUCCCUGGUUCGAUCCCGGGAAGUCGCA